Molecule: ribosomal RNA, 464 nt
Filed under: uncultured bacterium
Lineage: Bacteria
Description: bacterial SSU rRNA
Rfam family: Bacterial small subunit ribosomal RNA
Source: RNAcentral
GGGCCCGCACAAGCGGUGGAGCAUGUGGUUCAAUUCGACGCAACGCGAAGAACCUUACCCAGGCUUGAACUGCGAGUGACAACCUACGAAAGUAGGCUUCCGCAAGGACGCUCGUAGAGGUGCUGCAUGGCUGUCGUCAGCUCGUGUCGUGAGAUGUUGGGUUAAGUCCCGCAACGAGCGCAACCCUUGUCUUCUGUUGCCAUCGGGUUAUGCCGGGCACUCUGAAGAGACUGCCGGUGACAAACCGGAGGAAGGUGGGGAUGACGUCAAGUCAGCAUGGCCUUUAUGUCUGGGGCCACACACGUGCUACAAUGGCCGGUACAAACCGUCGCGAGCCCGCGAGGGGGAGCUAAUCGGAGAAAGCCGGUCUCAGUUCGGAUUGUAGGCUGCAACUCGCCUGCAUGAAGUUGGAAUCGCUAGUAAUCGCGGAUCAGCACGCCGCGGUGAAUACGUUCCCGGGCCUU